UACGUAGGGCGCAAGCGUUAUCCGGAAUUAUUGGGCGUAAAGAGCUCGUAGGCGGUUUGUCGCGUCUGCCGUGAAAGUCCGGGGCUCAACUCCGGAUCUGCGGUGGGUACGGGCAGACUAGAGUGAUGUAGGGGAGACUGGAAUUCCUGGUGUAGCGGUGAAAUGCGCAGAUAUCAGGAGGAACACCGAUGGCGAAGGCAGGUCUCUGGGCAUUAACUGACGCUGAGGAGCGAUAGCAUGGGGAGCGAACAGG
RNAcentral lists this ribosomal RNA (253 nucleotides) under uncultured bacterium. RNAcentral describes it as "partial 16S ribosomal RNA". It matches the Rfam family "Bacterial small subunit ribosomal RNA", at positions 524 to 776 of the family's 1533-position model. The record is from RNAcentral.